AGUGGAAGUGGAGACACACAGGCAUGCCACAGAUGUACCUCAGAAUUUGGGAGAAUUACUUUCUAGGAAACUGCAACCUUAUUAUAUUGAGAAUGGACUGGAAAACAGACUAAACAGGACUUCGCUGAUGCUAAAAUAAAAUGAAAGGGGAGCAGCACUUUUUUUGCAAUAGGAAGAACAAAAGGAUUGCCGUUGAAGAGAAAUCCUGCUAUGAAGCAGCAAGGAAAGAAAGCCAGGAGCAUGGCAGCACUAAAACCUAUGCAAGGGAGGAAAUCUGCUUUCUUUUCAGAUCACUGAAAAUGAUACAUGGUGGUUUCUUUUUUCCUCCCUGGGGCCACAGGUGAAGGAAACCAAUGAGAAUGCCAAGAGAAAAGAGAAUCAGGCACCAUUCCAGAGGGAGGAUUCUACUUUCAAAUGAUAUCAGAAAACCUAUGAAAUGCAUAACCUUGGUGCCCUGGAGAUGUGUUAAAAGGUUUAUUCAUAUAGGUAAAACUCCAUCUUAUACAUAUGAAUAACGGUUUCUUCUAGAAUCCUUUACAGAUUCUCUGUGCAGAAUAUAUGUUCUUGCUCUGUAGAGAUUAUUGGAACCAGUAAUACUGUUUUCUGCUCUCAAGGAAGUUGCUGCCUUCCUUGCCACAAGCAGGAUGGCUUUGUGCUGUAUAUUCAGCAGUGCCAUUUAUUGAUCAUGGCUCGGUACCCACAAAAUUUUAGAAAUUCCUUUAAAAGCAUCUAUCAUAUGAACUUUAUUUUAUUUGCUUUUUCAGGACUUUAGGUGAACCACAUAUUCAAACUUAAAUGAUCCAGAGAUCCCCAGCACUGACAUACUGGGCCAUUUUGUUUGUUUGUUUGAAACCAACAGCAGGCGCUCAUGCUACUGGCAUUAUAAACUCUCCUCAUUUUCUAAAGCAACUUGUCAAGGAGAUGCUUUAGAGUAAAAAUAAUCAGAGGCCUCUGAAUCAUGGCUUUAUCUGCAAACCAUAAGGCUACAUUUUAUCUGAACACAAAAAUUACUUGGCAGGAUGAGAUCAUGGUCCAUCUAGUAAACAAUCUGUUUCUAACAGUGGCUGGUCUUUGGAAGCUAACAAACAGGAUAUAAAGAUGAUGGCCUAACCACUUUGUUUAUCUCCGGUAUCCGAUACUUAAAGGCAGAGUUGGGACAUAGCAAAGUCUGCAAAUUACGUUCCCAAUGAAAGUAUGAAGUACACAAUUUUACUUCUCAAAACCAGUUCCUGACUUGCCUGAGAUUCUCCACCCCAGCUUGUCACUGACAAUUGAAGCUGGGCAGAGAAUCCAGGGGUGAUUUUGGAGCCUGGACCUAAAGGCCUUUGAAGCCCACCCCCUCCCCCGGAGGCCCCACCUACAAGUUAACCAUCAUCACCUAAAGGCCUCUGGAGCCCCCCCUCCCCCCGUGUUAAGCAUCAUCAUCCCCCCCACACACACCAUGACACAUGCAUUACUUUUUAACACAUGAAUUAUUGAUGGCACAAAUAGCAAUUGAACUCACAAUAAUGUAAGAACAUAAACAGGUAUAUUUCUGCAAAUGAUGUUAAUUAGCUCUUUCUCUUUUGCAAUUCUUCUCAAAACUUCCUCAUUGGUAAUUCUAUCUACCCAUGAUAUUCUUAAUACAUCAAUAUACCCAGAGCUCAAAAGAAUCACUUUGUCCAUAUUCUGUUUCCAAGCUUCCAUUCCGUAAAGCAAACAGAUGCAACACCUCACCAUUCGAAUUUUCAGUUCUAUACUGAAAUCCCUAUUACGAUGUUUCAUUUUAACAAAAGCUGCUCUUGCCACUUCAAUCCUGGUGUUUAUUUCUUAUGUACUGUCAUUGUGUUCAUUUAACCAUGUUCCCAAGUAUUUAUAAUGUGAAGCUCUUUUAAUUCGGGUGUUGUUGAUUGCUGGAUUUGUUGCAAUGGGAAGUCCUUUGCUGAUGACCAUAUACUUAGUUUUUCGCAAAUUCAUUCUCAACUAUAUUCCUUUGACCCCAAAGCACAACUCCAACUACUCACCACAUAUGAGUGUGGUGAAUGUGAUAUGAAGCUAGGAUGUAACUGCUUCUCUCUCUCUCUCUUUUAUGAAGCUUCAAUAAAAUAACACUA
Hemicordylus capensis (graceful crag lizard) is the source of this 2093-nucleotide long non-coding RNA. RefSeq lists it as uncharacterized. Lineage: Eukaryota; Metazoa; Chordata; Lepidosauria; Squamata; Cordylidae. The record is from RefSeq and is a predicted model, not a curated record. The transcript has 3 exons.